GGGCAUUUGGUCUAGUGGUUUGAUUCUCGCUUUGGGUGCGAGAGGUCCUGAGUUCGAUUUGCUGAGUGCCCC
This 72-nucleotide transfer RNA is filed under the name Medicago truncatula (barrel medic). It matches the Rfam family "tRNA". From Rfam's summary of the family: Transfer RNA (tRNA) molecules are approximately 80 nucleotides in length. Their secondary structure includes four short double-helical elements and three loops (D, anti-codon, and T loops). Further hydrogen bonds mediate the characteristic L-shaped molecular structure. tRNAs have two regions of fundamental functional importance: the anti-codon, which is responsible for specific mRNA codon recognition, and the 3' end, to which the tRNAs corresponding amino acid is attached (by aminoacyl-tRNA synthetases). tRNAs cope with the degeneracy of the genetic code in two manners: having more than one tRNA (with a specific anti-codon) for a particular amino acid; and 'wobble' base-pairing, i.e. permitting non-standard base-pairing at the 3rd anti-codon position. The record is from Rfam by way of RNAcentral. Lineage: Eukaryota; Viridiplantae; Streptophyta; Magnoliopsida; Fabales; Fabaceae.